RNAcentral lists this ribosomal RNA (460 nucleotides) under uncultured bacterium. RNAcentral describes it as "partial 16S ribosomal RNA". It matches the Rfam family "Bacterial small subunit ribosomal RNA", at positions 338 to 795 of the family's 1533-position model. The record is from RNAcentral.
CCUACGGGUGGCAGCAGUGAGGAAUAUUGGUCAAUGGGCGAGAGCCUGAACCAGCCAAGUAGCGUGAAGGAUGACUGCCCUACGGGUUGUAAACUUCUUUUAUAAAGGAAUAAAGUGCGGUACGUGUGCAGUUUUGUAUGUACCAUAUGAAUAAGGAUCGGCUAACUCCGUGCCAGCAGCCGCGGUAAUACGGAGGAUCCGAGCGUUAUCCGGAUUUAUUGGGUUUAAAGGGAGCGUAGAAGGAAGGGUAAGUCAGUUGUGAAAGUUUGCGGCUCAACCGUAAAAUUGCAAUUGAUACUGGCAGGCUUGAGUGCAGUAGAGGUAGGCGGAAUUCGUGGUGUAGCGGUGAAAUGCUUAGAUAUCACGAAGAACUCCGAUUGCGAAGGCAGCUUACUGGACUGUAACUGACAUUGAUGCUCGAAAGUGUGGGUAUCAAACAGGAUUAGAUACCCCUGUAGUC